AGUUUUAACCACUGGACCACCAGGGAAAAUUGGGAAAGUCAAAGUGUCAGUUGCUUAGUCUUAUCCGACUCUUUACGACCCCAUGGACUAUAGCCUGCUAGGCUCCUGUGUCCAUGGAAUUCUCCAGGCAAGAAUACU
Long non-coding RNA from Cervus elaphus (red deer), 138 nucleotides. RefSeq lists it as uncharacterized. The record is from RefSeq and is a predicted model, not a curated record. NCBI's taxonomy places the organism in Eukaryota, Metazoa, Chordata, Mammalia, Artiodactyla, Cervidae. The transcript is spliced from 3 exons.